RNAcentral lists this ribosomal RNA (396 nucleotides) under uncultured bacterium. Its description in RNAcentral is "bacterial SSU rRNA". It matches the Rfam family "Bacterial small subunit ribosomal RNA", at positions 355 to 768 of the family's 1533-position model. The record is from RNAcentral.
UGGGGAAUCUUGCACAAUGGGGGCAACCCUGAUGCAGCGACGCCGCGUGAGCGAUGAAGCCCUUCGGGGCGUAAAGCUCUUUCGACCGGAACGAUAAUGACGGUACCGGGAGAAGAAGCUGCGGCUAACUACGUGCCAGCAGCCGCGGUAAUACGUAGGCAGCAAGCGUUGUUCGGAGUUACUGGGCGUAAAGAGUGCGUAGGCGGUUUUCUAAGUUCGGUGUGAAAUCUCCCGGCUUAACUGGGAGGGUGCGCCGAAGACUGGGAAGCUGGAGUGUGGGAAAGGCAGGCGGAAUUCCUGGUGUAGCGGUGAAAUGCGUAGAUAUCAGGAGGAACGCCGGCGGUGUAGACGGCUUGCCAAACCAUAACUGACGCUGAGGCACGAAAGCGUGGGUAG